GAAUUGUUGUGAAGAUUUUUCAGAUGUGCUAUUGGCAUCAAUCUUUGCGUAGAUGUAGUAAAUUUAUUGUUAAUGGCAAUGCUUGCCUUAGGUUUAGGCUUGCCAAAUUGCUUGGCACCAACACAUAGGCCCAUGGAAAUGCUCUUAUUGUGUCCUCAAAAAUGGGAAGGAUAACAAAUUUUAACAUCUUGGUAAUCAAAAGUCUUUUGCUGCUAAGGCAGAUGAGGUUAAGGCAAGAAAUUGAAUUUCUAAAUAAGCUUAUGUAUUUGGAUUUUAUGGUAGGAAAAUCCGUAAAUUAACCAUAGUUGAACAAUGCCAUUCAAUAGUCAAUACAAGCAUCACCUUGAAGCAAUUGAUUAGGAGAUAAAUUUUGAUUGCUAUUCAUUUUCACAAGUAAAUCCAAUGUAAGUUGAUGAAAUUUAAUUAUUUUUACUAUUAUGUGAUGCUAAAAAG
This 453-nucleotide unclassified non-coding RNA is filed under the name Hevea brasiliensis (rubber tree). Lineage: Eukaryota; Viridiplantae; Streptophyta; Magnoliopsida; Malpighiales; Euphorbiaceae. The record is from RNAcentral.